CUGUUAACCCACUUCCACUACUGCUGUGUUCUGAUCUUUUUUUCAAAACACUGAAAGAGUUAAUGUUCCUGUUUGGGCAGUUACUUUCAAAUCGAAAAUGAAAGUGCUUCACUGGCAGGGAAGGACGUCACUCCCUUUUCAGUGUUCGAAGGAUAUACCAGAGACUGUAUACUCGAGGUUUUGUAGACAUGGCACAAACACAUGAGUCAUGGAAAAAAUUCUUUGUGUGGGAAGCAGGAAAAACAAAUGGGGCCCAACUUCCAGUUGUUCAAAUGCUCAAAAGUAUUGGACAAACAGACGUGACCUCUGCAACGGAAUGUGACUACCUUCUAGUCUUCUGUCCUGUUGUUUCACGAGUUGGAACGGACAUCGGCGAGGCCCUGCACAACAUAACUCCUGGCAAACCAGUAAUACUGGUAGUGAUGCAUCACACCUUCAAUCCUCACCAUGUUGUAGCUGAAAGCCGGAGGCAGGUGGACAACCCAAAUGUCCACCUAACUGUGGACUGUCUGUUUCAUGAAGGCCGUCUCCUCAAUUGCAACCUCAAUGAUACCAUGUCGAGUGACAUCAAAAGAUUUUUUGGUUCUGAAUCCCCAGCUCCAGCCUUAAUUCACAACUUGAUGUCUUUGUGGCAACGCAUCCCAAGUUUCUUUUUAGGUUUCUUCAUCUGGAAAAUAUUUGGACUUUGUUGCUCCAGUAUUUGGAAUUUAUUCAUGUGCUUGAAUCCUCUGGUACAUAUGGCUGGAUUGAUUAUUCCUUUGCUGAUGGCAGUUGUGACAUCAUUCAGCUCCAAAAUAUGGAAGAGAAAUAAAAGCGGGAAAUGAGGACUGCAAAACAAAAUCCAAAUGCAAUAAUUUAACAAUAUCACAGUAUGUUUUCUUGAUACUGUAUAUAAAACAAAAUAUAAGUAAUAUAUCCUGCCUUUGUAAUCAUUAAAGAUGUGUUAGUUAUGUGUUAUUGUUAUGAAAGCUGGUAUAGAUGUUUUAGGGAUGAAUCUUUUGAUCAUUGGUACUGUAGCAUGUUAAAGAUGAAAUGUUGCUUUACUCACAUGUCCAAGGCAAGACUGAAAAGUGAGCUUUAAGAAAACAGAACCAUUUCUUUCCCAGUUAUUGCAGACAUGCUUAUAUAUUUUAAAAUAAUAAAUUUAUUGAGAGGAUAUCUUGGUGUCAUUUGUUGCUUUUGUUCAUUCUGAAUUAGUGACAUUAAAAACUGUUUCUGAUUUAGGGUUAGACGUUACAGCUGUAACAAAUUGCAAAAUUGCAUUUUCGCUUAAAAUCUUGAAUUAAAAUGUACACACAAUGAGAAUGUUAAGCGUGGAACACAAUAAAACCAGAGACUGCCCCGCC
Oreochromis aureus is the source of this 1346-nucleotide long non-coding RNA. The record is from Ensembl. Lineage: Eukaryota; Metazoa; Chordata; Actinopteri; Cichliformes; Cichlidae.